RNAcentral lists this small nucleolar RNA (87 nucleotides) under Leersia perrieri. RNAcentral's name for it is "snoRNA Plant_U3". Lineage: Eukaryota; Viridiplantae; Streptophyta; Magnoliopsida; Poales; Poaceae. The record is from RNAcentral.
ACGACCUUACUUGAACAGUAUUUGUUCUUUAUAGGCUGGUACCUUUGCAUCCUUUACCAUAAAGGGACAUGCACGAUUUUUAAAAAA